RNAcentral lists this ribosomal RNA (253 nucleotides) under uncultured bacterium. RNAcentral describes it as "partial 16S ribosomal RNA". It matches the Rfam family "Bacterial small subunit ribosomal RNA", at positions 524 to 776 of the family's 1533-position model. The record is from RNAcentral.
GACGAACCGAGCGAACGUUGUUCGGAAUCACUGGGCUUAAAGGGCGCGUAGGCGGGUGCUCAAGUCUGUGGUGAAAUCCUCCGGCUCAACCGGAGAACGGCCAUGGAUACUGGGUGUCUCGAGGGUGGUAGGGGUAUGCGGAACUAUCGGUGGAGCGGUGAAAUGCGUUGAUAUCGAUAGGAACUCCGGUGGCGAAGGCGGCAUACUGGACCACAUCUGACGCUGAGGCGCGAAAGCCAGGGGAGCGAACGGG